GAUGAACGCUGGCGGCGUGCCUAAUACAUGCAAGUCGAGCGAACGGACGAGAAGCUUGCUUCUCUGAUGUUAACGGCGGACGGGUGAGUAACACGUGGAUAACCUACCUAUAAGACUGGGAUAACUUCGGGAAACCGGAGCUAAUACCGGAUAAUAUUUUGAACCGCAUGGUUCAAAAGUGAAAGACGGUCUUGCUGUCACUUAUGGAUGGAUCCGCGCUGCAUUAGCUAGUUGGUAAGGUAACGGCUUACCAAGGCAACGAUGCAUAGCAGACCUGAGAGGGUGAUCGGCCACACUGGAACUGAGACACGGUCCAGACUCCUACGGGAGGCAGCAGUAGGGAAUCUUCCGCAAUGGGCGAAAGCCUGACGGAGCAACGCCGCGUGAGUGAUGAAGGUCUUCGGAGCGUAAAACUCUGUUAUUAGGGAAGAACAUAUGUGUAAGUAACUGUGCACAUCUUGACGGUACCUAAUCAGAAAGCCACGGCUAACUACGUG
This 497-nucleotide ribosomal RNA is filed under the name uncultured bacterium. Its description in RNAcentral is "partial 16S ribosomal RNA". It matches the Rfam family "Bacterial small subunit ribosomal RNA", at positions 28 to 507 of the family's 1533-position model. The record is from RNAcentral.